CGGGGGGAGCAAGCGUUGUUCGGAUUUACUGGGCGUAAAGGGCGCGUAGGCGGCCUCUGCAAGUCGACUGUGAAAUCUCCGGGCUUAACCCGGAACGGUCAGCCGAUACUGCAGGGCUAGAGUGCAGAAGGGGCAACUGGAAUUCUCGGUGUAGCGGUGAAAUGCGUAGAUAUCGAGAGGAACACCAGCGGCGAAGGCGGGUUGCUGGGCUGACACUGACGCUGAGGCGCGAAAGCUAGGGGAGCGAAUGGGAUUAGAUACCCCGGUAGUCCUAGCCUUAAACGAUGAAUGCUUGGUGUCUGGGGUUUUAUAGUCCCCGGGUGCCGUCGCUAACGCUUUAAGCAUUCCGCCUGGGGAGUACGGUCGCAAGACUG
RNAcentral lists this ribosomal RNA (374 nucleotides) under uncultured organism. RNAcentral's name for it is "bacterial SSU rRNA". It matches the Rfam family "Bacterial small subunit ribosomal RNA", at positions 526 to 896 of the family's 1533-position model. The record is from RNAcentral.